RNAcentral lists this ribosomal RNA (253 nucleotides) under uncultured bacterium. RNAcentral describes it as "partial 16S ribosomal RNA". It matches the Rfam family "Bacterial small subunit ribosomal RNA", at positions 524 to 776 of the family's 1533-position model. The record is from RNAcentral.
UACGGAGGGUGCAAGCGUUAUCCGGAUUCACUGGGUUUAAAGGGCGCGUAGGCGGGCAUUUAAGUCAGUGGUGAAAUACCUGAGCUUAACUUGGGAACUGCCAUUGAUACUAUUUGUCUUGAAUGUCGUGGAGGUUAGCGGAAUAUGUCAUGUAGCGGUGAAAUGCUUAGAUAUGACAUAGAACACCUAUUGUGAAGGCAGCUAACUACGCGAAUAUUGACGCUGAGGCACGAAAGCGUGGGGAUCAAACAGG